GGCGAAUCCACAUGAAUAUGGAAGCACCCAUAGGAGAUGUGGCGAAUCCACAUGAAUAUGGGGUAGAAGCCUAGUGGGGGGCUACCCACUGAGGAAAAGAGGAAAAGAGGAAAAGAGGAAAAGAUGAAAAGUUGAAAAGGAUGUGCAUUGUAGGGUUUUAGCUCAUGGUCGGGUAACGGGAGUUAAAGGUGUCAUAGGGUCGGGUCGGACGGACAAGAGGAGUCGGUUAAGUCUAGGGUUUGACGCGUGUGGCAAUGAGUGAGAUCAUUGUAUUGAUUGAUCGCUAGGUUGUUAGAAAUGAAAGGAAGUGAUUGUGGAAAUUGCAGAUAACAUUAGGAAAUGAUGAAAAUGCAUUAACUGAUUGUAGUGGCUAGUCAGUCCUAGUUCCCGCAUGGAGUAGUAUAGAGUGUCAUGCGGGCAGGCUGGUCUAGAACCACUUCACUGAGUAACUUGUUGCUCACCCCUCCAUUUCCAUUUUUCCUGUGCGCAGGACUGUAAGUAGAAGUAUAUGGAUGUGGGUAUGACGGUAUUUCAAAGAAGGUUAUGCGCUCGUCUCUCGGGACCAGUAACGGGACACGUAGGGUUGUCUAGAUGAGUAGACACGUGUCCAUAACGCCCCUUCGAUAACCCCGGUCGGACUCCGGGGAAUCGGGCUGUUACAAUUGGUAUCAGAGCGGGUUAAGAUCCCUUAGUUCUGUCCUAAGGGAUCGGCAUUUCCGACGUUUAAAAAAAAAAAAAAAAAAAAAAAAAAAAAAAAAUAUUUUUAUAUAUUUCGUUUUCGGAAAAAAAAAAAAAAAAAAAAAAAAAAAAAAAAAAAAAUUUUGCAAUAUUACUAAGUAUUUUCGGAUUGUGAAAGAAUUAAUUGAAAAUCCCACUAUACCCAUACUUCUAUUAUGGUUCUGAUUGAAAUCUUAUUGCAGGAUGUUUCCGCUUGACCAUUACGAGUGGAGGAUGCCGCGUAUGCACUACGGACGGAGGAACACCAGGGAGUAUGCCCAAAGGCGUCACUAUGACAGGGAGGGUAACUUGGUGCUACCCAUGUUUCCGGAUCCUGAAGAACAGUACAGGGAGUUCCCAUUCAGGUACCCGCACGAGCAGACUGUGAGGCAUAAGGUGUUGAUGCCUCAUUUCCAGAGGAUGGCUAUGGAGACACGCCUACUGCAGGGCAAUGCGAGAUUCCAGCUCGCAACCGAAGAGGGACCCCCGAGGAAGCGUGGCCGUCCCUGCAAGACGCCAAGUGCAGCAGGGGGACCCCCAAGGGUGUUCACCGGGAAGUGCCAGUGUGGAGUACUGAGCAAGAAUGCUCAGGAGGACCGAUCAGUCGCUGGAUACACGGAGGACUUCAUCAACCAAGCCAAGCUGUGCAAACCGAAGAAUGCAGAGACGUGGUGCAUAUGGUAUAAGAACGGGCUACGCCAGGAGCUCCAGGCGCAGCUGAGGGGUGUUUUGGAGCCCUUGGAGUUCGCGUUAGUGAGGCGGAUGGCAGGUUUCGCCAUGGAGGCAGAAGAGAAGAUUGCAGCCGAUAAGGCCGCUCUCUCGAGCAUGGAAGGAGGAAACCCGGUGGGGACGUCGAUGGCCAUGAGGUGCCGGUAGGGACACCCGCUAAGGGAAAGCGGGGGCGUCCGCGAAAACCACCUGCAGUAACGUGUGAUUGUGACGUACUGGUCCAGAUGGUUCAGAAGCCACGCAAGGUGAGAGAUUACCUGGAGGAGUUCUUGGAUACGGCCAAGAUGUGUCAACCGAAGCCAGCUGAGGAGUGGUGUCAUCUGUUUAGGGCCGGGCUACGUGGGGAUAUUCGUGAAGAACUCGUGGGAGUCCUGGAGCCUCUGGAAUUUGCACUGGUGAGAAGGAUGGCUAACCAAGCACUGCAUGCGGAGGAGUGGUUGGCGGGAAAGGAGGCGGAGGCCGAGGAGGACCGCGUCGCAGAGGGCGAUGAAGACCUGGGAUCCGAGUCCCGCUGCCCCUCGCCAUGUCAAUGUGGCUAGACGAGAUCCUAGAGACGAUUCGUAGGAGUAGGACACGUGUUUCGCUAUUGGUUUUAUUUCGUUUAUUGGUUAUUGGAGUUGGUGUUCCUUCCCUUAUUUACGGCAUUCUGUAUUGUGCAGAUGUGCUGGGUUUUCUUUUACAAACUAUUGUAGUCCUACUCUUUUUUUUUUAUUAUGACAUUCCUUCGUUGGUUUUAAAGAUCCCAGUAGAGUUAUCGUGUCAUGUAUGCCUCCCUUGAUUGUUGUGUGAAUGUGUGAAUCCAUUUUGGUAACGAACGAUUGGUCUGAAAGAUGUGGGCUUUGGAAUUCGGGGACGAAUUCCGAUUAACGGGGGAGGAUUGUAACGGCCCGGUUCCUGGCCCAUAAAAAUUUCCCAAAGAAUAUGGGCUUCUCUACGGCCCAUUUAGCAAAACCCUAGGGCUUCCCCUUCCCUUUACUAUAAAAAGAGAUGCAGUCUCCCUUUCUGCCUCAUCACAAAUCUGAAGCGAAGCCCUGCAGAGAAUUCCCGGAGGUCGAAAACCCUAGCCGUCGAGCUCUCUCUCUCUCUCUCCUGCGCCGUCUCUCUCUCUCUCUCUCUCUCUCCCGCGUGUCGCUCUCUCUCUCCUCGCCGUCACCCUCUCUCUCUCCUCGCCGUCGCACGCUCUCUCUCUCUCUCCCUCUCGCCGGCGCCGUGUGAAGUGGUGGUGCUGACCAGAUCUCAACCUUCUCAAAUCCUCGUUUCCAGAUCCAGAUCCAGAUCUAAGACUAAAGUGGAGUGUUUCGAACCCAACCUUCUUUCAUGGUUCUGUAUACUCCUUUAUGUUGGAGUUAGGCUUGAUUAGACCCUGAUUGGGAGUUAGGUUGAUAGGACAUGGUAUUGCUAGGAUGAUAGAUGAAUGAAUCAUGAUGCAUAAGAACCCUCAUACUGAUAAAUGGGACUUGAUGAACUGAAUUGAAUUGUCGUGGUAAUGAUUGAUUGGUAGUUGAUACUUGUAUGUUUGGUUGUGUUGUCCCAUGUGUUGUUGUGAUUGAAGUUAGGAUGCUAGAGAGGAACAAAUGCUAGGAUGAUAGAUGAGCAAUGAUUAUAAACGUUAUUGAAGUAGAACUUGAAUGCGAUGUGUAUUGUGUGUGACACCGAUAACGGGUGGCGUCUAGUGACUAGUCCAAGUUCAAGUAUGAAUGAAAAGGGAAAGUAAUUGGGAAUGGGGAGGAUUAAGUGAAAACGAUAAGGAAGUGAAAUGAUAAGAAAAAGUAUGAAAGAAGGAUGUUAAGGAUUAAGCAUGGGUGGGAAAGCAUAUAGAGAGUCUAAGGUUUGUAGGUGGGGUAAGUGGUCCAAGCUAGGUAUCCAUAGGAGAUGUGGCGAAUCCACAUGAAUAUGGAAGCACCCAUAGGAGAUGUGGCGAAUCCACAUGAAUAUGGGGUAGAAGCCUAGUGGGGGGCUACCCACUGAGGAAAAGAGGAAAAGAGGAAAAGAGGAAAAGAUGAAAAGUUGAAAAGGAUGUGCAUUGUAGGGUUUUAGCUCAUGGUCGGGUAACGGGGAGUUAAAGGUGUCAUAGGGUCGGGUCGGACGGACAAGAGGAGUCGGUUAAGUCUAGGGUUUGACGCGUGUGGCAAUGAGUGAGAUCAUUGUAUUGAUUGAUCGCUAGGUUGUUAGAAAUGAAAGGAAGUGAUUGUGGAAAUUGCAGAUAACAUUAGGAAAUGAUGAAAAUGCAUUAACUGAUUGUAGUGGCUAGUCAGUCCUAGUUCCCGCAUGGAGUAGUAUAGAGUGUCAUGCGGGCAGGCUGGUCUAGAACCACUUCACUGAGUAACUUGUUGCUCACCCCUCCAUUUCCAUUUUUCCUGUGCGCAGGACUGUAAGUAGAAGUAUAUGGAUGUGGGUAUGACGGUAUUUCAAAGAAGGUUAUGCGCUCGUCUCUCGGGACCAGUAACGGGACACGUAGGGUUGUCUAGAUGAGUAGACACGUGUCCAUAACGCCCCUUCGAUAACCCCGGUCGGACUCCGGGGAAUCGGGCUGUUACACAAA
This 3988-nucleotide long non-coding RNA is filed under the name Brassica rapa (field mustard). RNAcentral's name for it is "long non-coding RNA (BRAP_LNC007146)". The record is from RNAcentral. Lineage: Eukaryota; Viridiplantae; Streptophyta; Magnoliopsida; Brassicales; Brassicaceae.